CUCGUUACCAGUUUGUUGUUGUGUGAGGAAUGAAAUUGGAAUUGAGAGCGAACUGACAGGGAUUCCAGAUCAGUUUAGAACUGGGAACCGCAGUUGUCAAAUAUGAUGCAAUUAGGCAACGGAAAAGGAAGAAUGACAACCCAUCAACCUCGAUUCAGAAAGUACAGGAGAUGACAGUUGAUGAAAAUACAGAUGACACCAACAAAAGCAAACAUCGACAAAGUAU
RNAcentral lists this long non-coding RNA (226 nucleotides) under Linum usitatissimum (flax). RNAcentral describes it as "long non-coding RNA (LUSI_LNC000316)". The record is from RNAcentral. Lineage: Eukaryota; Viridiplantae; Streptophyta; Magnoliopsida; Malpighiales; Linaceae.